Molecule: ribosomal RNA, 460 nt
Filed under: uncultured bacterium
Lineage: Bacteria
Description: partial 16S ribosomal RNA
Rfam family: Bacterial small subunit ribosomal RNA
Source: RNAcentral
CCUACGGGUGGCAGCAGUGAGGAAUAUUGGUCAAUGGCCGGAAGCCUGAACCAGCCAAGCCGCGUGAAGGACGAAGGUGCCAAGCAUUGUAAACUUCUUUUGUCAAGGGACAAAAUCAGGCUCGAGAGCCUUACCGAGGGUACUUUAAGAAAAAGCAUCGGCUAACUCCGUGCCAGCAGCCGCGGUAAUACGGAGGAUGCGAGCGUUAUCCGGAUUUAGUGGGUUUAAAGGGAGCGUAGCUGGGUUUUUAAGUCAGUUGUGAAAGUUUGCGGCUUAACCGUAAAAUUGCAAUUGAUACUGGCAGACUUGAGUACAGUUGAGGUAGGCGGAAUUCGUGGUGUAGCGGUGAAAUGCGUAGAUAUCACGAAGAACUCCGAUUGCGAAGGCAGCCUACUAAACUGCCACUGACAUUGAUGCUCGAAAGUGUGGGUAUCAAACAGGAUUAGAUACCCGGGUAGUC